UUUUUCUUGUUGUUUUGAAAGCUUUUGCUUUAUAAUGACAAAUACACAGAUUUUUUAAAAAUGUUUAAUGUCUAUUUAUUUUUGAGAGAGAGAGAGAAAGAAAGCAGGGGAGGGGCAGAGAGAGAGAGACACACACACAGAAUCUAAAGCAGGCUCUAGGCUCUGAGCUGUCAGCACAGAUCCUGAUGCAGGGCUCGAACUAACAAACUGUGAGAUCAUGACCUGAGCCAGAAGUCAGACACUUAACUGACUGAGCCACCCAGGUGCUCCCCGAAGAAUUUUAAAUGAUAACUUCACAUACAUACACACACUCUAACACGGGAGUACAUUUUACGGCUCUCUCGUACCUUCUAUUUUUAAGCUUUUUAUUCAUGAGGCAAAUUUAUUCUGUAUACAUUAUGCCCAAGGAUAUAUGCUGCACAUGAUGGUGGACGCGAAACUCUUCGAGAUGUACAGACUCUGCCCUCAAGAGGCUUAUACUCCCUUUGGCUGCCUAGGACCCCCAAGUGGAUAUCUCCAUUGCCGAGCAGCAAGCUAUGCCAAUCACAUGGACAAUAAGAAAAGCGAGUUUUGAAGAACCAGAUGUUCCUUCUUAUCCUGUGUCUUGGAACAACCUGAGCUCAGCCUUCACUAAGAACCAGAGACAAGGAUGAGUCAGGGCCUGAACAAAAUUAAAACAGGCCCCACAAACAUGUUAAGGUCAGAAAAAAGACCUGAGAAUUUUCUGACACUUUUAACUCAUAAAAUAAGCACUCUUCACUUAAGAAUAUCUCUAUAAGUUGAGGGCCUAAUUUGUUAGUGCAAUAUGAAAACAAUUCGAAGUUUCAAGAAAUCGUUUUGGAGAAAGGAGAUACCAUAUACUCUUUUGCUGCCGAUGAACAAUGUUUACGUAGCCACAGUAAUGUAAACAUUGUUGAUUUUCCACUUGUGGAACCACCCCACAGAAAAAAACAAAGAUUUGUUUAUUUGAAUUGUGUAUUUAUCAUUGUCAUCAACCUUCAAAUGCAAGACUAAAUGUAAAUAAGUAUAUGGUGGCAAAACUCAGGAGGUAGGCAUUGGAGAAGGAGUUGAGAAAGGGUAGCAUCCCUAUGAGCCUCACCUUAAAAAGCGAAGAACUAAGGAUACUUUACUUCUUCUCUAGCUGAUAAAAGAGAGAUUAAAAUACAUUACUUAAAGCCACAGAAGUAACUAAUAAUGGAACCAAACAAGAGAGAUGAAUUUAUUGGUUAGCUGAGGAGAGAAGAAACACCGGAGUGAAAUUCUCGUUUCCCAUAGCAAGGAGCCAAUAUACAAAGUGCGCAAUUGAUAAAUCAAGAAAUUGUAGAAGAUCUAUUGUCUUUAGUGAUGUGGCGGUAACUACAAAAAAGGACGGGGCAAAGUCAUUUGAAAAGUAGAUGCAAUUGGGAAGGGGUGAUAUCAGUAAUGAUAGCCUUUUAUGACACACACUUUUAUGUACAAAUUGAGUUUUUCAAUUAUUUUCCCGAAUUACUCUGAUUUAAAAUAAUAAAAGUAAUAACAACAGUGAUGAUAAUAAUU
This 1536-nucleotide long non-coding RNA is filed under the name Felis catus (domestic cat). RNAcentral describes it as "lncRNA (ENSFCAG00000051486.1)". The record is from RNAcentral. Lineage: Eukaryota; Metazoa; Chordata; Mammalia; Carnivora; Felidae.